Molecule: long non-coding RNA, 1623 nt
Organism: Camarhynchus parvulus
Lineage: Eukaryota; Metazoa; Chordata; Aves; Passeriformes; Thraupidae
Exons: 3
Source: RefSeq, a predicted model, not a curated record
GGGAGACGAUGCUGGAACAGGGGCUGCGUCAUUUCGGGGCUGGGAGACGGCUCGGCUCCCCUCCGCCGCUUCCCUGUCUGCGGGCAGGGAGGACAGAUACCCGCAGGCCAGGGCAGGGUGCGGGGCGCUGCGGGGUCGGAACCACCUCCGCCUGCCCUUCUCCGCAAGCCCCCGGGGCCAGGACGGGGAAGGAAAACCCCACGCUGGGAAAAGCGAUAAGCCGCCUUCGGUCUGCCUAGCGAUGCCAGAAAAGACAGGGGCAGGGAGAAAACUACGGGACUCGUCGGCCGCAAAGCAGUAGGCAGGACGGGUCACGAACAAGGGCCCGAGGCAGGGCCAGCUCCCGCGGGGGUAACAGGGUCCCGGGACGGCGAGGGUAGGAGGAAUGAUCGGCAUUUAUAACGCCGGGGAGGCUCACAGCCUUUCAAAGAGUUUCAGCUGGGGCUUGCCACAAACCGAUUUCUUCUCCUUCAGACCCAGGGGGCUGGAGAAGCUGUCCCUCCAAGGCUCCCUGGCAUCUACUGGGGGGACAUGUACCUCUCUAAACGGGCCCUGGAGUCAUGAUGGACUUGAGCGAAGCUGCGGGGAAAUAUGUCAUUUAAUCCCAGGGCUACUGAAGUCCCUUUUAUCAAGCGUCGUGAUGCUGGAAUUAUACUGCUGUAAAAGCGACUGAGUACUUAAAAGUAUCCAACAUCAGGCAAAUGUAUAGAUUGGAGGAAUGGGUGUAAAAUGAAGGCACGUACAAACUAAUCACAGGAGCGUGAAAACCCCAAGAGGAUUAGAUAAAUAUAAAUAGAUGUGCAUUAAAAAAAAAAAAAGCACGAUAAAACUCUAGCUGCUGUAUUCACACAAGGAGAACAGACAGCGUGUGCAUGUUUGUGUGCAAUGCCAAAAAGAGCAGCCUUAAGGUUGACCUACUGCAAUCUGCACUGAGCUCCUCAGACAAUAGACAAGUUCAAAUGUCAAAAAAUCUAAUAAUAAUAACCAGAGCUGCCAAACUGCACGAACUGUUUUCUGGUGUAUCACAAUUAUUCACCCUCAUAUCCACUAAAAGACUUCCAGUCCUUAUGCGUGUAAAAGAAAAUCUAUGUAAUGCAUAUGGAUUUUUUUUUAUCACAUGUGAAACGCCAUUGAGAUGGCAAGCACGCAAAUCGGAAUGAUAUCAUGUCUAAUAAAAGCAGGGCUAAGGUUUUCACAGUCUCUUUUAAAAGACUCCAACUUGUAAAUCCCCUUUUAAUGUCGCUACAUGCACAAUUAUUCUUAUUAAUAAAAAUCUACAUGUUCAAGGGCCUGGAUUGAAACUAUGUAUCCCUCUGAUUUUAACAUCGGUGGGAGCAUUAGGUUUCCCUCAUAUGUAAUGUGUCUACGUUGAGCUCAAGUCAACAGAUAGAUUGUUCCAUUCAUUUGGCAACUCUCAUUACAGUCCAUGUGAGGUGAACCCUGAGCAAGACACGUUGGGUAAUAUCAAAAUUAUGCAGCUGGGAAAUAAAGGAAUCUUGCUUUGCAUGUGCAGUUCUGUAUUAUUGUUCUAAUUUAUUACAGAACCCGAAAUGCUUUGUUAUGCUCAAAACAAUAAAUAAGGCUCUGAGUGAAGCCUUCAGAAUAAAAGGUAUGGAUAAAUGA